CCCGGGGACGGGCCUGCCGGCCUGCCGCGCGCGGCGCCCCGACUGUGCGGGCGGCUCCCCGCCACCGGCCUCGUACGGCCCCGCGCACAUCCCCGGCCUUCCAGCGUGGAGCUCGAGAACAGCGACCCCGCGCACGCACCCUCCCUUGUCAGGCGGGGAAGCUCAGGGGCUGAAGUCCUCCUGCCCCCCAGCGCACCUGCAGUGAAACCCGAGGCCUUGCGCCCAGGAACCAGGCUCGAGUCAUGCCCCACGGCUGCUGAACCUUCGUGGCCCCCAGCACAACGUCUUAUUAAUCCAUGACUGGUGUGUCUCUGUGACACCACAGGCUAAACUGUUCCCCCACCUUUGGACCAGUCGCUCUACACCCCCAAUCCAGACCGCUGAAGCUUGCCUAGCUUCUGGUGAUUUGUGUUGCUAUUUCUAUCCAGCUCUGCAAUCCAAAGUCACUGCCUGGAUAAAGCUGUAGAAGGAAAAUGGGGCCUUUGUAGAAAAAUAGAUGAUGAUCAUUUUAAGUGCAAGCCUUUGCCUUUAAGCCUGUUGAAGAAUGAAGAAAGCCUUCUCUUCACUGCUACUUUCCAUGCACAGUCCCUCUGACAUCUCAGCAGAAGUGAGG
Molecule: long non-coding RNA, 613 nt
Organism: Alligator mississippiensis (American alligator)
Lineage: Eukaryota; Metazoa; Chordata; Crocodylia; Alligatoridae
Exons: 2
Source: RefSeq, a predicted model, not a curated record